AUUGAACGCUGGCGGCAGGCCUAAUACAUGCAAGUCGAACGGUAACAUAAGAAAAGCUUGCUUUUCUUGAUGACGAGUGGCGGACGGGUGAGUAAGAUUUGGGAAACUACCUGAUAGAGGGGGACAACAGUUGGAAACGACUGCUAAUACCGCAUACGACCACUUCAGGCAUCUGAUGGUGGUGGAAAGUUCCGGCGGUGAAGGAUGAGCUCGCGGCCUAUCAGCUUGUUGGUGGGGUAACGGCCCACCAAGGCUUCGACGGGUAGCCGGCCUGAGAGGGUGACCGGCCGACACUGGGACUGAGACACGGCCCAGACUCCUACGGGAGGCAGCAGUGGGGAAUAUUGGACAAUGGGCGAAAGCCUGAUCCAGCAACGCCGCGUGAGGGAUGACGGCCUC
This 399-nucleotide ribosomal RNA is filed under the name uncultured bacterium. RNAcentral's name for it is "bacterial SSU rRNA". It matches the Rfam family "Bacterial small subunit ribosomal RNA", at positions 30 to 418 of the family's 1533-position model. The record is from RNAcentral.